GACAGAGGGUGCAACCGUUGUUCGGAAUUACUGGGCGUAAAGCGUGCGCAGGCGGUUCGCUAAGACCGAUGUGAAAUCCCCGGGCUUAACCUGGGAACUGCAUUUGUGACUGCAUGGCUAGAGUUUGUCAGAGGGGGGUGGAAUUCCACGUGUAGCAGUGAAAUGCGUAGAUAUGUGGAGGAACACCGAUGGCGAAGGCAGCCCCCUGGGAUGUGACUGACGCUCAUGUACGAAAGCGUGGGGAGCAAACAGG
RNAcentral lists this ribosomal RNA (253 nucleotides) under uncultured bacterium. Its description in RNAcentral is "partial 16S ribosomal RNA". It matches the Rfam family "Bacterial small subunit ribosomal RNA", at positions 524 to 776 of the family's 1533-position model. The record is from RNAcentral.